Bombyx mori (domestic silkworm) is the source of this 3488-nucleotide long non-coding RNA. RefSeq lists it as uncharacterized. The transcript has 2 exons. Lineage: Eukaryota; Metazoa; Arthropoda; Insecta; Lepidoptera; Bombycidae. The record is from RefSeq and is a predicted model, not a curated record.
GCACUUACUAUAUCCUUGUUACGUUGUGUGAUUCAGUGUACGUACUGGUUAAAGUUGGACAAGUGUUAAAGUGAAUUGUUAAGAUAACAUAUUGUUGAUUAAAUCAGGAAUCAAAGGUGACUUCGUUUAACUUGGUGUUCAACAAAAUAAUGUCUACCCCCAAGCUUACAUCAGAAGUGGGAUCAGGACUCUACUCUCACUGGCGUGACGUGUUUGAACAUGUUCGAAGUACAGCAAAAAAAACAUGAUGCAGAUCAGAAUACUAGUAGUGGUACGUCACAAGAGCAUGAAUGCAGCAUACGUAAGUCUUGUAAUAACGUCUCUGUUACCUCGAUGGAAGAUCUGAGCCACGAAGAAAUCGUCACAUCUUACGUUCUGGCUCAUGUUGCCCAGUUUGACUGUCGACUUCAUCACAUGGCAUUUACUAACGGAAAUACAACACGUAACAAGCUAUUGCAAGAAAUUAAGGCAAGUGCAAAUCUCAAGUGAAACUUCGAUCGCAAUAAUGGAUCUGUCACGACGAGUGGGUAGUUCCGACACGAAUCGUUUUUAAGCCAAUGACUACUGCUAGAGUUACAUGGCACUAGUACAGUAAACCAGGACAUGAGACUGUGAAUUGUCGCUGAAAUUUUAGAAUCUACUCGACUUAAUACCAAUAACACUACACGUUCGAUGACUUCGGGCUCCAGCAAGCAAGCAAACAAGAAAGCAAGCAAGUUUCCGUGGGGAAGAAAAAUUGACACAUCUGAAGUCGUCGUGACCUGUAAGAUAAGACGUCCGGUGCGUUCGUGUCUGGCGAUGCGGCGGUGUUCGGGUUCCGCUGGCGGAUGCAGGUUUUUAGGGGGAAGUGCGUGCUUGACAAGUGUUCGCGGUUGGCUUCCUCAGUGUGGGAGUAACAUCGUGUAAGAGAGGUGGAACCCGUAAAAUUGUAGUUUGCGUGGUGGCUGGUAAGAUUUGUUGCGGUAAGAAGUUUGCAUGGUGGUAAAAUGUCUUGUGAGUCUGCACAGGUAGCCGGAGGUGAGACUUCCGCGGUCGCGGCCCACCCAGUCCGCGAGAACCGGGAGAUCGCCUCGACGGUACGGAGGCCGGCUGACGGGUCCGCCAAACGACGAGACCACGCCUCCAGCACGGACUGCCGAUAUUGGAGCCCCCGCGCUCCGGCUGCACUUGCGCUAGGGCGCGCCGCCUCGUAGGAGACUGUGAGCCUGCAAAACCUGAACAACCUCCUCAUCCGUGGGCGCCCGGCUCUCGCCUGCAAGUCGGCUGUUACGUGUGCGGUGAUGCGAGCCAUGUAGCUUCUGGGCGUUCCAUGCGCCACAAGCAGAAAAACGACACUGCUCCAGGUGCUGUGGCAGGUCCAACCAGAGACGUCAACGUGUGUUCCAGAGCUUCGGUGUGUUACAGAUAAGUGGUUUUGGCUCCCCCUUUAUGUUCCAUUCAGGGUCAGAAUGUAGUCUUAUAAAACAAAGCCAUAGUAAUUUAUUCAAUGGUAAGCGGUUUCAUGAACAAGUCACCGUAGUCACCCUAGACACGUCCUUACGGAUCCAUCAGAUCCAAUAACUCUUGCAUUACAUACCUUCAGCUCUAACACUAGGAGCAGGCUGAGGAACCCCAGUAAUCGUACUCGUCGAACUCGAACAAGAGGUCGACGUGCAACCUAACCCAUGCAUCAGCCAACGGCGGAUCCAGGGGGGGGGUCAUGGGGGUCAUGACCCCCCCCUGAGCUAGUUCCAGGACUUGAACUUACUUGGACUAAUUGAAGAACAUCAUGAUCUAUUGUUAUCAAAAUUAAAUUAUAAGUUCUUAACUUGCCCACGACUAUGUGACCCCCUCCUGGCGCCAAUGCUGGAUCCGCCCUUGGCAUCAGCCCACUGAGUUUCUCGCCGGAUCUUCUCAGUGGGUCGCGAUUCCGAUCCGGUAGUAGAUUCAUUCGCGAAGCAAUUGCUCUUGAGUUGUUAGGUCUCCUGCGGAGGCGCUCGGGCAGUUGUUAGCAAAUCCCACCCCUCUUGGCUGAGCCUUUGCUCACCCACCUGUCCUGGUGAAGCUGGAAAGGCCACCGGGCCAUGCAGUUUUGGAAAACGAUAGGUAUAAGUUGAGACAUGUAAAUGGUUCUAGUGUACAAAUUUCCCCAUGAAAACUUACGCGAAAUUACCUCGAGGCCCGUCCGGCCUACUAGAAAUUUCUGAAAAUUAUAGUGACGAUGACGUGACGGCGUACACAGAUGGGUUAAGUAAUCUUGUUCAUGAAACUGAUCUUAGUGAUGACGACUCUAUCACUGACAAUAGAAGCGACAUUUUUGUCCGCAAAUAGCGAUACAGCAAACAUAGUCUGUGGGUAGUGAUACAAUGUCUGUAAGCUCAGGCACCUCAGGUGCAGGUGUUGGAAAUGUAGAAAACGAUGGUCGGUCUCGCACUAUUUCUGAAGAAAUUCCGUAUAAAUGUUCUGGUUUAAGAAAUGUUUUAACAAACGCUACCGUACACGCAGAUUAAAAAAAAAAAAAAGAGAAUUGUAUGUGGCUAGAGAGAUGUUAAUCCGGACUAGCAAAAAAAAAAAAAAGAGAAAAAAAAAAAAAAAAAGUGUGAAGUCAUUGAAGGAUCUGUCCGGUCCAAUGGCUUGGCUAUAGGGAUUUUCAUCCAGAUUAGCCACAACAAUUAGCUACAGGGAUUGCGAUUCGGUCUAGCAUUAUCCGGUCCAGUUCGAAAAACUGAAGGGAUAACAAUUCCGGUCUAAGUUAAAAGGGACAUACUUACAUACCUGAAGAGUUUUAAAUGAACUGGCCCAGGUAUGUAAGCAGUCUGAAGGUUAUUUAUAGCCAGUAUAGGAUUUUCUGAAGAAUUAUGCGAACCGAACCGUACUAGAUUGUUAAUAUCAUAGACCACGUUUUAAGUUGCAUCCGUUAAUGUCAGGAUGAACGAACAUGUUUGUUGUUCACAGACAUACCAUAAGAAUGCGCGCACGAGGACGAGCGCACGUCAGUAUGGCCGUGACGGCGUUAACGAUAUUUAUGUUAUAUAGCACGUGCAAUAGGAGUGACUCACACAAGCCAGGCGCGCCGGCCGUGUCGUUCCACUCGUAAACAACAGCUGCAACAGAAGUGACUCAUAAGCCAGCUGCGCCGGCUAGUAUAAAAAGGCGGAACGUGCCUUGAAAUGAACAUUCGUUGGACUGCGUUUGCCUGGUGCACUUACUAUAUCCUUGUUACGUUGUGUGAUUCAGUGUACGUACUGGUUAAAGGACAAGUGUUAAAGUGAAUUGUUGAGAUAACAUAUUGUUGAUUAAAUCAGGAAUCAAAGGUGACUUCGUUUAACUUGGUGUUCAACAAAAUAAUGUCUACCCCCAAGCUUACAUAUAUAUAUUUAAAUAUAUUGAAAUAUAAUAGAAUAUCUGUUUGAGUAUCAAUGCAUGAUUAUAAUAAUGAUAUCACUGCCUUAUUGGUAAAAAUAAUGGGAAUUGCGAUUUACCCAAAUAAAUUUAUCCAAAUAAAGAAA